CUUUCUACCUCACCGCCGCCGUUUUUUCUACUGCCUAUGGACAAUUUAUUUUUCCGUUGAUUGGAGGCCCCAGGUACCCGUCUGUCAGACUCGGAAACCAGUGAAAGGAGGCCUUGGGCCUACGGAGCGGGCAGGAAAGGAGAGACGCGGGCUCCUUUUCCAUCUUCUACAGCGAAGGUUUGAGCAACAGAGGUUAAUUCAAAGAAUGGAAAUCAUAACCAUCCCUUUCAAGUUUUCACCAUUGGCCAAUUUGGCAUAAUUUUGGAAAAAAGAUUGAAUAAAAGCAAUUGCUAACAGGAAAGGGCAGGUUCAAAUGAUGCAGAGCAAAUCCAAGGAAUCAGCAUUAAUAUGUGUACAAUUGCAUAUUGUGCCGAAGCAUUAUUUUAUGUAUGUUUCUUUGUUAGAAGGUUAGCAUACUAUGGAAUUAACAUUGUCAUUUGAUGUAUGUUCUUUCCCAUGUAAAUAUAAUUCAUACUUAUAGUAUGAUGUGAAACAAUUUAAAGGUAAGUUACAGUUUUUGUCAUCAAAGAGCAUUAGGAUUUUAAAUUCCUGGAACCCUGAAAAUAUAUUCUACAUUAUACUUUUUAAAUGUUAAUGGCAUUAUUUUGUUGGUGUUCAUGCUCCUCCCAUCCAAGCCAGUUCAGACCCAUAGCCAGCACCAGUUAUGAGCCUCUCUCAAGUUAGACUACUUCUUGGAAAAUAGAAACACAGUAGUCUAUCGCUUGAUGAUACUCUAAAAUGCCUAAAUCCCAAAUUUAUUUGGGGGUAAAAAAUGCAAACUUCUUCCAAAAGUAGUCUGUCUCAUUAGGUAAUAGGGAGAAACUUUUCCCCCAUUCUUUGGGAGGGGAUGGUAUAUGUAAUAGUCAGAAGGAAAACCUUUUUUUCCCCCCACAAUAGUUGUCUAGAAUAAAAGGGGGAAAGGAUAUUAAAAUUGAAGAGUAGCACUCCUUUACAAAAAUCCUUUCAAUAGUUUAAACUUUUUUUCAGAUGCCAAAAGGAAGAACUCUUAGCUUGCAGAAAGUUGAAUGGUAGUUUAAGAAUAGAAUUAGAAGCAGAAUAAAUUAUGUUCCUGAACCAAACCAAGAAAUUUAGAUUAAAAUAGGCUGAGCUACUGUAAAGAUUAAAAUUUAGGAAUAUGGGGAGACUGAGGCAGGUAGAAAUUAGUUUCUCUCUGCAAGGAGUAUUAUAUUUUUUAGAGGUUUAUUAAAGGUUAAAGAUUAAAGAAAAUACAGAGUUAGAAAAAACAUGUGCCUAGGCCAGAUAACCUCACAUUACAGAAGAGAUGCAUCUGCUCCAAAACGGAAGUCCAAAAGAGCCACAAAAACCUUUGCCACCAGCUUAAAUCCUUCCUCGAUCUUGGCCCACCUCAGAAUUCCCGUGAGAUUACAAAGCAUUUUGGGGAAGUGGAGCAAAGGCUUGUGGGGAUUGUAGUCCUGUAUUCGAGUCUAUUCUUUACAUUUCUCCGUUUGAUCAUUUGCAAAAAAAAUAAUUUUUUUUUCCAAAGGAUCAUGAAAACAAUCAAUUUAAAGAUUACAAUAAUUUGAGGAUAAGAGAAAAAAAAAUAAUUGCUGAACGCAUUGACAAAAAGCCAGUUAGGGGGCAGUCCCCUUUGGCAUGAAAGUAUACAUACAAAUAAAUGUUCAAUCAACCACACCCAAGUUCAAUUUUGUGCAACUUGUGGUCUGGAGGCUUCUUCAUGGUGGCUUCUCCAACAGUUCAGUUCUGGAUUCAGAGAGGUAGUAUCUUCUUUACCUAAAAUUCUUCUCAAAAGGAAUCUAAACGUUGCAAUUUAAAUAAUGAUAUUUUUUACAUUCCCCCGUUAAGAGGGUGAUUAAAAAAACAGGAUCACUUAGGGAUGCAUGGCUGAGGUAUGUGGUAUAUGAAUCAAUUGGCAAGAGAAAUUAAAAAGAUAUCAGAAAAAUCCAAAUAAAAAAGAAAAAAUUUAUGGAUGAAAAUACAGACUAUCAAAGUCUUAUGUGUAAAAAUUCCAAGUAAAAGAAAAAUAACCUAUAACAGGUCCUUGAAUCAGGGCCCAAUUAAAAUGAUCUAAGCAAUGAUGCAUUUACCCAGUCAGUAGCCAGGACUACAGAAAGGUACCACACUAUGAGAGGCAGAAAAGAAAGGGACCAGAUUAUAGAAGCCAAGUUUUCGGGGAUACUCAUCUGUGAGUAUCUUCAGAGUGAGUGUGGAUACAAGGAAAGCCUAUGUCUAGCAAUGAUAAACAUAGUAACCUUGAGUCCUCACACUAGGUUCAAGACCUUUGUAUUGGCCUAGACGUGCAUCAUCCAUCCUGGAUUGGCCUUUCUUUGGCUCUGUGCAAUGGCUCUUUUGUGUAUAUCUUGUCCUGGAAUCAGACAGAAUCAUUAAGCAAAGUCCCAUAAUUUAUUUAAAUAAUUAGUGGCAUCAUUUUUAUAGUCACAAGCUUUUUAGGGCAUGCAUUAGCAAAUGUAUUUCAAACCUGUAGCACUGAAAAUCAAAAAGUUAAAGAAAAUCUUAAUGCUGGUGACAUGUGCUUCAAAUAUAAAAAGGAGAGAAAAAAUAAUAAAAAAGAAAAGUAUAUUGCACAUGCAAAAACAAUAUAAUAAUAAAAGAGCUUUAAAAAAUUCAAAAAUAUAGCUUAUAAUCAUUAACACUCUGUGUCAGCUAAGAAAAUAUAAAAUGCAAGGCUUUCUCACCAAAAAUGAGAUCCAUUUCCUCUUAAUAUCUGGCCAUGAUCACUGUGAGUAGAAGGCAAAUGAAUUGAAAAAGGUUAACAAUUUUUUCAUUUUUAAAAAUACAGUAGUACAAAUAUGUAGUUAUCAAAAUCCCCAAAAUUCUCAAUAGCCCAAUUAAUUACAAUAGCAAACAAACACACUUUCAUAAUUCACAUAAGUUGCUGUAUGACAUUUUUAAAGCCUAUGAAUUGAUGGACAUUUGUCAAUUUUUACAAACAUAGCAAUCUUUCAACCUUGAUAUUUGAACAUUUUUUUUAAACAAAGUAAACCUCAUCUUGGGUUAAGAACAUAAUCAAGAAAUCUAGAUAUCAUUCUGGUGGAAGUUAAAUAGUGAGCUGAAGAGCAUAAAUGAAGGGGUGCUCCUUUUUUGGAGGCUUUUAGGGAUACAAAUGCCCUGAGAUUAACUGCCCAACUUCCAUUCACAUAUUUAGAAAUGUGGGAAUGUUGGGGGUUAUAAAAUGUAUUUCACUUCAGCUACUAUUGGCCUUUUAUCUCGUGGUAGGGUCAGGCAAAAAUAACCAGAUUGUUAAAAAAAAUUCCAAAAAUCAUAUUUUAAAAACCCUUAAAAUCAUUUGAGAUAUUUAGCAUAUUAAAUUUUCCAAAGGUUGUUAAUACAAUUAUAACCAGUUCUAAAGUCCAUCUAUCCUCGGCAAAAUAGAAAAAAGCUGUUUUUUCAUAUAUGGGCUUAUUCACAAUAAUAUUUGUUCAACAGUUAUAGGGGAAAAACAACAGAAUUUUUAAAACUAAGUACAUUCAAAAUAAAUUCAAUCAACCUUCAGUGUAGCAUGAUAAUCAAUCCAGUAAUAUAUGAAUUUAAAAUCACAAAGUUAUAUCUUAAAACAAUCAGGAAAUGCAAUAGAAAUACAGAGAUUUUUUAUAAACUAUUGGAGUCUGGAAUGCCUUAAAAUCAUAACCUCCAGUCUUUAGGUUCCUUGGGUUCUUAUCCAUUUAAAUGCCUAUUGUCCGAAGGCAGAGUGCUAUGGGCUAGGCAAUGGGUUUCAAGGGACCCAUCCAGGCCCCAUAGCUAGGAAGUAUCUGAGGCCAGAUUUUAACCCAGGACCAUGCUCUCAGUGCCCUGAGCCACCCAUUUGCAAAUUCAAAGUUGAAUCUUUGGGCUGAAUCUUUCUUCUGGCACACAGGUGAAAUCAAUGAAAUUACCAGAACUGUCAAAAGGUAUCCUUUUAAACAGCCCAUUGCUAUUAAGUUUCUGUUUGAAAAAUCUGUUUCUUCUCUCCCCUGCUCUGAUACCUUCUCCCGCCCCAGUCCACGUGGAGCCCAGGCCACCCACGUGGAGUCAAUACCCCCCCCUCCACUUGGAGGCUUAGCCUAAGGGGAAAUUGCCCAUUUCCUUUCCCUCUCCUCUCUCCCUCCGCCCACAUGGCCAAUACUGUUACCAGCUGGUCGAAAUGAGUCCUGAGCGAUCUGCUCCAAGGAUCUGGGUGAUGAGCUCUGUGGGUCGGAGGCCAGAUGGGUGAGAGACAGACCGCUGGGGUGGGCAGGGCAGGGGCCAGAGCCGGGCGCUCGGGCACCAGGUGAGAGGCCAGAAGCAGAAGCAGGAGAAGCAGGCAGGCAGAAUUUAGCAGCCAGGGGCCAGGUGGGCGGCAAACACAACAGGUCUGGAUCAGGGCUGAACACCCGCAGGCAAAAGUGGCUGAGCUUUCUAAUGGCUGGAACUGAAGGAGCAGCAGCUUUGCAAGGGUAAAAAACAAAAACUUGGCCAGAGAGAUGUGGCUCAAAUUAAAAGCUGAACUAAAGAUCAGAAAGAAAUCAGAAGAUUGAGAGUUUUUUUUCCCCCAUUAGGUCGCCAAACUGUAAAGAUUAAAAUUUAGGAAUAUGGGGAGACUGAGGCAGGUAGAAAUUAGUUUCUCUCUGUAAGGAGUAUUAUAUUUUUUAGAGGUUUGUUAAAGAUUAAAGAAAAUACAGAGGAAGAAAAAACAUGUGCCUAGGCCAGAGGCCUAGGCCAGAUAACCUCACAUCACAGAAGAGAUGCAUCUGCUCCAAAACGGAAGUCCAAAAGAGCCAUAAAAUUCUUUGCCACCAGUUUAAAUCCUUCCUCGAUCUUGGCCCACCUCAGAAUUCCCGUGAGAUUACAAAGCAUUUUGGGGAAGUGGAGCAAAGGCUUGUGGGAAUUGUAGUCCUGUAUUUGAGUAUUUUUUUACACUACAAAGAAUUUAAGCCACUAAAGAUCAGUUAAAAUCUUGUGUUAUAUGAUGUAAGUCUGAAGAUUGGGUAAAUAAGAAAAAUGGUUGUAGUAUGUGUAGUAUUGAAAUUUCUUCCAAGAUAUUCUGUAUGACACAUGUACCAGUGAAUUCUACUCCUAAAAUAAAAUUUUCUUGUAACUACCA
Monodelphis domestica (gray short-tailed opossum) is the source of this 5059-nucleotide non-coding RNA. The record is from RefSeq and is a predicted model, not a curated record. Lineage: Eukaryota; Metazoa; Chordata; Mammalia; Didelphimorphia; Didelphidae.